GGAACUUGAGUUUUUUUCUUUUUCUUCUUUGAUUUCAACCAAUUUUCACUCUCACUUGGGUAUCAGCUAUGGUUUUGAGGUGAGUCAGCUUAGUCAACCACUAGCGUUCUUUGGUUCCCAAUAAUAUGGCAGCUUUUUGAAUCCUUAAAUGUUGCAGGUCAAGCUAUUAUGAGUUCACAAGGCUGGCACACGGCACAGGUUUCCAGGCAUCUUCUAGGGCUGGAGGUUAGGAAUCUCAAUGGCCCUUAAAUAGAAAAGAUCCCUUGCAUUUAGUGCAGAAAAGACACAGAGACACCCUCCCACGAAGUUGUUUUAACUUGAAGGAUCACAUUAUUCAUCAUGAACAAUCUCUAAACUCAGUCAGCAGAAGCCUUCCUGGCACUUUCCUUGUGUAUACUUGGCUCCAUUUUAUGAAGACAGAACAGACUAUGUUU
This is a non-coding RNA of Vicugna pacos (alpaca), 434 nucleotides long. The record is from RefSeq and is a predicted model, not a curated record. NCBI's taxonomy places the organism in Eukaryota, Metazoa, Chordata, Mammalia, Artiodactyla, Camelidae.